GCAGUUUUAUGCCCAAAUGCGCAAAUAGGUUAAGCAAAAACAAUACACAGAUUACAGACGCAAUCGACUAAGCGGGAAGCGAAAUCAGAUUUUUUCUGGGGAGAAGAGAUGGACGCUUUGGUUCCUUCAUCCUCGACAUUUGGAAUCAGAAAUCCAUGCUGCACCAAUUAUUGUUAUUGCGGGUCAUUAAGACAAAAACGGUAUUCUUUGAUCUUAUGAUCUUUUUCUUAUUAGUUGAUUGCUUAAAGACUUGAAUCCGGAGAAGUCAUUCAGAAGAAAUCACUCGACCAUCAAUACACAUUCACUCGAUUUCUGGUUUUUUCUUCUUAGUUCUUUCGUCAUAAAUCACAAGAAAAUACUCAAUACUAAUAACCCAAAUGAAAUACAUCAGCAACAAUCUUCUUUCGCUCAAUUGCUUCCUAUUUCAGUGCAUCACAAGUAAAUUGAAAGGGGAACAGAUGUUUGAAAGUCAUAAUCUGAGCAUACGGAAGAAAACCAAAAGACAGUAGCAUUGAAACAAGUCAAACAACAAUAUAUUGAUUUGACUGUCAAUCGGGCUUUCUAAUAUCUUGGUUGUCUUGAUUCUUGAAGUGUUGAAAAUCAGAAGCCAGAAGUUUAUUUCAAUGCAUAUUAAAUGGAUGACUGUUUGCUUGUUUGCAAGUAGAAAGAUGGUUGUUUUCAAGUAGAAACAAAAUUUAUUUCAACAAAUACUAGAAGGGUGAUUGUUUUCAAGUUGAAGCAAUUUUGUUUUUUGUAUUAAUUUGAAUGGAAACUUAAUUUUGUGUAUUUUGCAGGAGAAAAUGAAAAGUUAGUUUUGCUUAA
Molecule: long non-coding RNA, 822 nt
Organism: Lactuca sativa (garden lettuce)
Lineage: Eukaryota; Viridiplantae; Streptophyta; Magnoliopsida; Asterales; Asteraceae
Source: RefSeq, a predicted model, not a curated record